GUUUUUAAAGGGGAAAAAUCAUGUAAAAGGUAGUUUCUCUAGAAAGUUGACAGCCGCUAGAAGAAUGAAUGUGCCUGGAAUAGAGAUGACAUCUUAAUCAUUGGUACUGAGGAGCUGUAAUGCCAGACUAUAGAAAGCUUAAAUAAAACUGCAGCUCUUUUUCUUUUAUUAAAGAAAGAAAGCCCAGGAGUACAAUGCCAGAACAAGAACUAAUUCUGGAAGCUUGCUGGUAUGAUAUUGUCAGUCACACCAGUGAUGUGGAUAAAAGCUUUUAGCACAUGAAUAAUUUCAGUGAAAGGGCUUUAUCACUUUUUAUUUGCUGGGCAUUUACAGGAGAAUAAACAUGCUGGUAUAUAUUAUAUAUGGAGUGAAAGUCAGCCGCAAAUGAAAGCAAAGACCCCCAGACCCAGUUACCAGAACAGACUAGGGUUGCUUAGCAACCAGGCAACUGGAGAAUUCUCUCUCCCUUUCUUUCCUUUGUUUUUAGAUUGCAGUAACCUUUGAUCAAUUUUGGCUCUACAACAAAAGCCUUGGAUAUUUUGAGAGAAGUGUAUCUGCUUAUUUGUAGUAACAAGGACACAGACCGUGACACCUAUUUCUGCCUCAGAUUUCAUGUUAAACAGCAGAACAGCUUCAAAUUCCUUUUAAAAAUCUUACUGCUGGUGGGCUGGGUUUCCGAUGAAUCGGAAGUUACAUAAUAAUUGCUUCAAAUUGCGCUAAAAGAUGUUUGCUGUCCGUCAGUCACCCUUGGUUCUUCUGCUCAUUGACCAGCUUUGGAAGCCUAGGUCUUGGUUCCAAAUCUACUUCCUGAGAAGCAGCAUCUGAAUCCCAAGUCCUAAAUCCUCCAGUUAGAGGAGACUUUAAAUGGUCAUUCCUUUCAAAGACAUCAUGGACUUAGGGAAUACUACACUGGAAGGGUUGUUCAAAUCAUCUUUUCUGGUUCCUUCUCUCUUUACAGAGUCUUUCAAUUCACUUCUUACAAGGCAACUUGCCAAUGUCCACAUGCUCUGCUACCAACCAAGAAAACUCACAGAUCCUUCUCCUCAGGGAGCUUUAAAGGGUCUUCUCUCAGCCCGAGACAAGUGGGGUUAAUGUGAACAGUUCAAUUCCUUUCCUCUUUAAAAACAAAGGUGAAGAGGAAUCUCUGGCCCCAGAUGCCUCUUCGUCUUGGAUCAGCUUUGGAGUACACAUUGCCUGGAUGAGCAACGCUAGUUUCAUGACCUCUCCAUGGCUCAGUUUAAAUGAGUGUAAUUCCCACAAGAAUUUUGGAAUAUAGCUGCAAAAAGAAUAGAUUCUAGGUGUAAAAAGAAUGGCCUUGGUGUUACUCUCCCAACAUUGUCUAAAACACCCAGUUAUGGCAACAUCCUUUGACGUCUAAGGACCUUAGGCACAGGAUAAAGAAAAUCAUUUUUCCAAAUCAGCUUGCUGAGUACUGCUGGGAUCUGGAAGGGUUGGAGGUCUGUCUUGUUCACACCCCAGUUUGCUUCUCUGAAGUCCCACAUCUAGGUGCGUCUUCAGUGUGCUUUACGUUGCAGGCACAUCGCAGCUCUUUGCACUUCGCUGAAAAGAGGAUGAGCAACGCUCUCCCGCCCUACAGAUCCUCAAAGUUCAAGCCUAUUCUUGUUAGGCUGGCGUCUAGCACCUGUCACUUGCCUCCCUGUCCUCAGUUACUCCCACCCGAGCAACUGCCUGGGCGGGGAAGCACUUUGAACUUAAACUGUCUUUCUGUUUGCACCUUCAGUUGAGCUUUAAUUGCAGUUCUCCACCUGCUUCUGCACUCCAGGAAACCCCUGGGAACCCUCUCAUGGCUCAUUUAGAACCUGAAGAAUCUUAGGGAGGCUGGUCAAAAACUCAGGGGCCUGAGAAAGAAGAAUCCGCCAUGUAUUUCUUUGCAGCUUGCCACCAACUCCCUAGCGAGCUGAUUCCUGCUUCUGUGAAUAGGUUAACACCAGUGAAAUUGCAUUUUAAUUAUUAUCACUUUCCUUUUCAGGAGGAUUUAGGAUUAUGAGGCUACUGUUGCUAAAACACGUUCUCUCUUCCCUUGCUGCAAAAGGAGUUGAAAGUCAGAAACAAAUAGGUCAGUGGAACAGUGGAGCUGUUGAAAAGCUCACAGUCACACAGGGUAGUCACACAGGGCCAUGGUUAUGAGUAGUUGGGGUAAAUAUUUUACAGCUGGGACUGUUCCAUUCUAAGGCCUCAAAAUUUAUAGUAAACCUAA
This 2218-nucleotide long non-coding RNA is filed under the name Callithrix jacchus (white-tufted-ear marmoset). Its description in RNAcentral is "lncRNA (ENSCJAG00000084508.1)". The record is from RNAcentral. Lineage: Eukaryota; Metazoa; Chordata; Mammalia; Primates; Cebidae.